This 501-nucleotide ribosomal RNA is filed under the name uncultured bacterium. RNAcentral describes it as "partial 16S ribosomal RNA". It matches the Rfam family "Bacterial small subunit ribosomal RNA", at positions 30 to 523 of the family's 1533-position model. The record is from RNAcentral.
AUUGAACGCUGGCGGCAGGCUUAACACAUGCAAGUCGAGCGGGGGAAGGUAGCUUGCUACCGGACCUAGCGGCGGACGGGUGAGUAAUGCUUAGGAAUCUGCCUAUUAGUGGGGGACAACAUCUCGAAAGGGAUGCUAAUACCGCAUACGUCCUACGGGAGAAAGCAGGGGAUCUUCGGACCUUGCGCUAAUAGAUGAGCCUAAGUCGGAUUAGCUAGUUGGUGGGGUAAAGGCCUACCAAGGCGGCGAUAUGUAGCGGGUCUGAGAGGAUGAUCCGCCACACUGGGACGGGGACACGGCCCAGACACCGACGGGAGGCAGCAGUGGGGAAUAUUGGACAAUGGGGGGAACCCUGAUCCAGCCAUGCCGCGUGUGUGAAGAAGGCCUUAUGGUUGUAAAGCACUUUAAGCGAGGAGGAGGCUACUUUAGUUAAUACCUAGAGAUAGUGGACGUUACUCGCAGAAUAAGCACCGGCUAACUCUGUGCCAGCCGCCGCGGUAA